Oryza sativa Japonica Group (Japanese rice) is the source of this 4320-nucleotide non-coding RNA. The record is from RefSeq and is a predicted model, not a curated record. NCBI's taxonomy places the organism in Eukaryota, Viridiplantae, Streptophyta, Magnoliopsida, Poales, Poaceae.
AGCCGCAGAAACACACCUCGUCCAUCCACUCGUGCGUCGCAGCCAUCGCCGCGCAUAAACCGUCCCCAACCAACCGCCACACACACUCGACACUACUCGAGCUCGCGAGCGGCGAGCCCAAAACCUGACAAACCACACGCCCACCUCGCCAUGGCGCGGCACCUCGCGCCACCAGGAAGCUUCCACCGCCUCCUCGCCUCCCGGCACUACCCGCCUUCCUCCCCGGCACCGCCGCCGCGCCCUCUCCUUCUCCUCCCCAAAACCCUAAUACCGCCGGCCGCCGCCGCAAUGGAAUUCCCUCGCCGCGGGCGGCGCGACGUCGCCGCCGCCUCCGCCCCGGCAUCCUCCUCGCCGGAGACCGAGGUAGCGCCGGGGGCCUGGGGGAAGGUCUCCGCCGUGCUCUUCGACAUGGACGGCGUGCUCUGCAACAGCGAGGAGCUCUCGCGCCUCGCGGGCGUCGACUUAUUUGCCGAGAUGGGCGUCGACGUCACCGGGGACGACUUUGUUCCUUACAUGGGCACAGGUGAGGCUAAUUUCCUUGGAGGUGUAGCGAAGUUGAAGGGAGUGAAAGAUUUCAACGCUGAAAGUGCCAAGAAACGUUUUUUUGAGAUAUAUCUUGACAAGUAUGCAAAGCCAAAUGCUGGCAUUGGAUUCCCUGGGGCUCUAGAUCUCGUAACAGAGUGCAAAAAUGCAGGUUUGAAGGUUGCUGUUGCAUCCAGUGCUGAUAGGAUUAAGGUGGAUGCAAAUUUGGCAGCUGCUGGUUUGCCUCUGUCGCUAUUCGAUGCCAUUGUUUCUGCUGAUGCAUUUGAAAAUUUGAAGCCUGCUCCGGACAUUUUUUUGGCAGCAUCUAAAACCCUAGGUGUUGACACAGAUGAGUGCAUUGUGAUAGAAGACGCACUUGCUGGAGUUCAAGCUGCAAAAGCUGCCGAAAUGAGAUGCAUUGCUGUGAUGACUACUCUGGAGGAAGAUGCGUUACAGCAAGCCAGUCCCUCACUCAUACGGAAGAAUAUUGGAGAUAUUUCAAUUAGAGAUAUUUUGUAUGGUGGUUCUAAUGCUUACCACAUUGGUGCAGAUGAACGGACAGAAAAUACUGAGAAUAUUAGUUCCUUAAAACCCUCAACAGAGAUUCUGAAUGGAGCAACUAAUGCUGAAUCUGCUCCGAGCACAAAUUCUGCAAGCUCAAUUGAUGAUUCCCGUGAAGGGCUGGUAGGUUCUCGUCGGAACAUAUUAAGAUAUGGAAGUCUUGGAAUAGCUGUUUCUUGUCUUAUCUAUACAACCAGGAAUUGGAAGGCCAUGCAGUUUGUAUCUCCCAAAGGGCUGCUUAAUUAUUUCACGGGUGGAAAUAGUUCGAUAUUUGCUAGUAAUGAAGGAGAACAACUCACAUCAAGGGUUCAACAAAUAAAGAAGUAUUUAGCUGAUUUUGAAACUGGAGGUUCUGCUACUUGUGUACCUGAGUUCCCAAGAAAGCUUGAUUGGUUGAAUACAGCGCCACUUCAGUUUGGAAGAGAUUUAAAAGGAAGAGUGGUCCUGUUGGAUUUUUGGACCUAUUGCUGCAUCAAUUGCAUGCAUGUCUUGCCCGACCUGGAAUUUAUAGAGAAGAAGUACAAGGAUAAACCUUUCACUGUUGUCGGUGUGCACUCUGCCAAAUUUGAUAAUGAAAAAGAUCUUGAAGCCAUCAGAAAUGCUGUUCUGCGCUACAACAUUACUCAUCCGGUUGUAAAUGAUGGGGACAUGUACUUGUGGAGAGAACUGGGGGUGAACUCUUGGCCUACAUUUGUUGUGAUUGGGCCCAACGGGAAGGUUUUAGCACAAAUAUCAGGUGAAGGUCACAGAAAGGACCUUGAUGAUGUGGUUGGUGCAGCUCUUGAAUUUUAUGAAGAAAAUAAAUUAUUACAAAACAGUUCUCUUCCCUUGGCAUUGGAGAAGGACAAGGAUAGUCGUUUACUAGCUUCACCGCUUAAAUUUCCUGGGAAACUUGCAAUAGAUGUACUGAACAAUCGGUUGUUUAUAUCAGACAGUAAUCAUAAUCGAAUUGUAGUUACCAACCUGGAAGGGGAAUUUAUAUGUCAAAUUGGAAGUUCUGAAGAAGGACUACUUGAUGGCACAUUUGAUACUGCUUCAUUUAAUCGCCCUCAAGGUCUUGCUUACAACUCCAAAAAGAAUAUCCUGUAUGUUGCAGAUACUGAGAACCAUGCACUGCGAGAGAUUAAUUUUGUGAGCGAGACUGUCAAAACACUGGCGGGAAAUGGAACGAAAGGCUCUGAUUACAGAGGAGGAGGUCAGGGAACUAAUCAGGUUCUAAAUUCACCAUGGGAUGUCUGCUAUGAUCCCUCAAAGGAGACCCUAUACAUCGCAAUGGCUGGACAACAUCAGAUCUGGAAACACAACACAUUGGACGGUGUAACAGAAGUUCUCAGUGGUGAUGGCUACGAGAGAAAUUUGAAUGGAUCGAGUUUGGAGAUCAUGAUGGGACUGGCUCGGAUGUGCUACUCCAGCAUCCAUUGGGUGUUGUCUAUGCUAGUGAUAAUCAAAUAUAUGUUGCGGACUCUUACAAUCACAAGAUAAAAAGGUUAGAUCCUGUCACACGGAAAGUUACGACGAUUGCUGGUACGGGACGUGCAGGAUACAAGGAUGGUCCAGCCUUGUCAGCUCAACUGUCUGAGCCAGCAGGACUUGUUGAAGUGGGAGAUGGUAAUCUUUUUCCAUGUGCUGUGUUGCUUGUCUAGUUUAACUGACACAUGAGAUAGUAAUUAGAACAAUCACGCUAUCUAAUGGUGUUCUAGAGUUAAUUUCCUGAAUACACCGAUUAGGUGAUGGACCUAGCAAUUCACUGGAUCACCUUGCCUGUAAUCGUCUAACCUUGCCUAUUUUAUGUAUUUCACCAUUUGCACUUGUUUUAUGAACAACCCUAUGUUAUGUGUAAGCUGCUUACAUUUUUCCUGGUCAGUGACAGAAUAGGCAAACAGUAGUUGUUGUGCUGCAAGAUGAAUAAUAUGGUGCAAACUAUUGCUUUUCUGAUAUAUCGUAGGAAGGCUUCUUGUAGCAGAUACAAACAAUAGCACAAUCAGGUAUAUAGUUUUGAAUGAGAAAGGCGCUGAGGUGCGCACGCUAGAUUUGAUUGGAGUUCAGCCACCAUCACCAAAACCAAAGACAUUGAAACGCCUAAGAAGACGUCUAUCAGCAGACACGGAUGUUAUUAACAUUGAUGGUGGUUCUUCAAUUGAAGGAUAUUUGUCUCUAGCAAUCUCUGUCCCUGAUGGUUACCAUUUCUCCAAGGUCCAAAAUCAUCACAGAAUUUUAGCUAUAAUGUUUUUGCAUCAUAUAUGGUAGCCUUAUAUAGUUACUGACGAGCAUUUUCCCGUUAUAUUGUGAAUGUUAUUGUAUGGUACACUUUUUAAAUAGAAAUAUCAUUUCAUUCGAUGGUUUGUCAGCACUCUUCACAGGACUAUACUAUUUUUGUUUUGUUUUUAUGCUAUAAGGUCUUUCUGGUUGCUUUUACCUACUAUGAAAUAUAUGGCAUAACAUCCAUGCAAUCAUACUUCAUGCAUAUCAAUUCUUCCUUCCUUUUGGACACUCUUUUUCUGAGAAAAAAAGAGAACAGUUAACUUGUUAAAGGCCUGAAUGAUCUGGUCACACCACCGAAGUGGAUGGUGCUUACUUUCAUAGUGUCAUGGAGUCUUCUGGGUUCAAUGUCAGCUUAGUGCAAAACGUUUUUUAUGGCUGUCAGCAUGAUUUACUUGUGAUGAUAUACGUUCUCAUUUGCAGGAAGCUCGAAGUAAAUUUGAUGUGGACAUAGAACCAGCUGAUGCAAUUGAGAUAGAGCCAGUUAAUGGUUUUCUAAACUCAGGACAGGCAUCACUCAAGUACAGAAGGAAAUCUUCAUCGUCAUCAACGGGAAGGAUCAAUUGCAAGGUUUACUACUGCAAAGAAGACGAAGUUUGUCUUUACCAAUCUGUUGCCUUCGAUGUCAAAUUCCGGGAAGAGGCAGUCCCCAGUCCAGCGCAGAUUACUCUUUCCUAUUCUGUGGUACCAAGAGAUACUUCAAGUAGCGCACAAUUAAUAGCCGCUGGAAAGAACGGCAAGGUAUAGUUAGAUCUAGGGUGAUUGUUUUACUGUUAAUUCCUGUGCUGAUUGUGAAUUUGGCUUUAGUGCCAGAAAGGUAAGCUCUUUUUUGGAGGGUGUCUAAAGUUCCAACUGCCUUUGGAUGAUGUAUAUGUUGUAAUAUAAUGCUGUAUGCUUGACAUGCUACCUCCACCCUAUAGAAUCCUAGACCAAUUCAUUUUUAUAUAUAUUGACAUCGCCCUGUUUGCCUAGAAAAAA